RNAcentral lists this long non-coding RNA (285 nucleotides) under Phoenix dactylifera (date palm). RNAcentral's name for it is "long non-coding RNA (PDAC_LNC021331)". The record is from RNAcentral. Lineage: Eukaryota; Viridiplantae; Streptophyta; Magnoliopsida; Arecales; Arecaceae.
UUAUUUCCGAGGAUGCCUUGGUGAACGUCGGUCUGAGCUCGGUCCCCGCCGACCGUGAGCCCGCCACCACUUCUUCUUUUUAGCUCUUUUCUCCUCUUUCGUUUCUUCUUUCCAUCAGUUUCUCGGUUUCUAACCAUCUCGUCCUUUUUGCAGAAAUCGACGACAUCAUGCAGUCGGACAAGGCAAUGGCUGUUAGUAGGGCGUCCCUACUCGAAGCGGUCCGGAGGAAGAAACGGACUCCUCCGAGCGGGGUCCCACCGGCGAAGAAGCCCCGCCAGCAGGCGA